RNAcentral lists this long non-coding RNA (1997 nucleotides) under Citrus x clementina. Its description in RNAcentral is "Citrus clementina (C. clementina) long non-coding RNA (CCLE_LNC004976)". The record is from RNAcentral. Lineage: Eukaryota; Viridiplantae; Streptophyta; Magnoliopsida; Sapindales; Rutaceae.
AUCAACUCAAAAUUUACCUAUAUAAGCCAAGAUCUUUCACAAAUUUGGGUAAAGAAGAAAAUUUAUAGAGAGAAAUUAAUAGAGAAUUUAUCGUGGAUUUGCAAGGUGAGUUCUGUAGAGAAAUUAGCUAUAAAUCUACAAUGAACUCUAGAGAAAAAUCUCUUCUCCUCUCCUUUGUUUUCAAUUUUCUUGUAUUAUGUUUCAUAUAUUUGUUAAGUAAAAUGAGUAUUUUAGUCGAUAUCAGAGAUUCAUGUUCUAAGCUAAGGUAAAUAGUGAAACUCAAAAAUUUAAAUUGUAAAAUAAUUAAUCUCUCAAGUAAGUUUUAAGUUUAUUGUUUUGAAUUAUAUGUUUAUUAGUUAUAUUUUCUAACAGUUAUUUUUAUUCCAUGUUAAUCUAUAAGCCUAGAUCCCAUUUAGAUUUAUAUGAGUAUUUAGACAUAAUUCAGUACACUAAUACGACAGUGAUAUCACUCUAAUAUAGUUAUGACACAUUAUAUAUUUAAUCCUCAUAAUUAUUUGCACAGUGAUUAGUUAAGAACUAAGUCACAUAAUAUUUAAACUAGUAAAAGGAAAUGCAAGAUUUUUAAAAUUCCAUAUAGUUCGACCCUAGACUCACUAAUUUAUAUUAUAACUAAACAUUCUUAUACUUGAGAAUAGUCCUUUGAGUCAUGUCAGUGAUCAUGGAAAAGAACAUGAAAAUGCUAAGUUUGUGAAUUUUGUAAUAAUCAUGAGUUAGCCUUCACAGCCACUACCACUACACUCUUACCACCAUAUCAACCUGAUCCAACCAUCACCACCCCAAACUCGGCCACUAGCCACCGGCCACACAAAACCCAAGAGUUGAGCCUUAUUUACAGUUUUACCAUUGUGUGAAAACUUGACAAUAAAUGGUAAACUACCAUCGUUACCCUACUAUUUACCAUGUGCUAGACUUAUUUGCAUACACUUGUCCCAAGAAAUUUAUUGAUUAGUUAGACAUUGUAGCCUUCAUGGCAUGAUCUCUGUCUUUCAUAAUUAAUAUUGGAUCGAAGGGUUAGCGAUUCUUCUAAAGACUUCUGAGUCUCUAAAAUCCAAAUCUCACGUCCAUUUUUUUUCCAAUUUAAGCAUCAAGAAUUUAGGGAUUUACUACGAAAACAUAAAAACCACACUUGAAGACAAAUAAAAAUUGACAAUUCAUAAAAUCGGUUAAGUAUUUGUAAAUAUGAUGAAAAUUUAGUGUUAUCAACACUGUAAGUGAAAAAUGACAAAUUUAACUAUGCCCACUUUCUAGCGUUAAUCAAGUAACACCUGCACCAGAGAGCUAAAGAUAUUUAUAGUUUUUUUUAUUGUUUGUAGAUAAAAUGUCAAGGAUCAUCUUAUCUCCUUAUGUUAGAAGAUAUCCCCAGUUUUGAUGGUAAUCAUAAUAGUACUUUUUACUAGAUUUGCAUGAUGGAAGAUUUUCUUCAAACUAUAUCUUCAAAUAUCAUUGUCUCUCAUAUAUCAUUUAAGUUUAUGGGUGAUGCUUUAGAUUUGUGUGAGCAACUUCAAGAAUCAAGGAUUCAACUAGGGCAAGAUGAAAUUCAAGAAUGGUUUGGUACGAGGUAAUUGGUGAAAGAUCAUUUUGUUCGCUGUGAUGAUGAUGAACAAUCUCUUUUUACACUAAUAACAAUAGAAGAUGAUGAUCAUAAUGAGAUUAUUGUUUUGCGUGAGCUUUUUAGAGAAGAGCUAGGUACAAUCUAUUCUUGAUUUGCACUUUUAGCCUAACAAUAUCAUCGAGUUUGUGCAUAAAAUCAAGUUAAAGAGAGCCGAGCAAUGAUUGAUAUGAUUAUAACUAUCCAUGUUGAAGACAACAAGGUUAUUCUUAAAGAAGAUUUGGCUGCAAAGAUAAAGUUAAUUGGUCAGAACAUUGAGUGAGGUUUGACAAAAGCCUUCAGAGGUUUGGAAGUAAUUCGUUCGUACAAGAAUUUACCUUUUCACAAAGUGACUAGCAAGAUUAAGAUGAAGAUGAAGCAUGGAGGA